RNAcentral lists this ribosomal RNA (400 nucleotides) under uncultured bacterium. Its description in RNAcentral is "bacterial SSU rRNA". It matches the Rfam family "Bacterial small subunit ribosomal RNA", at positions 28 to 415 of the family's 1533-position model. The record is from RNAcentral.
GACGAACGCUGGCGGCGGGGUUUAGGCAUGCAAGUCGCGCGAGAAAGCCGCAAGGCAAGUACAGCGGCGUAAGGGUGAGUAAUAGUUCGUCAACGUACCGACUGGACGCGGAUAAUUCUCCGAAAGGGGUUGUAAUACGCGAUGAGACCACGGGCUGUCCGCAGCACGAGGUCAAAGGUCCGGGAUCCUUCGGGACCGGGCGCCGGUUGAGCGGACGAACUCUGAUUAGCUAGUUGGCGGGUAACGCCCACCAAGGCGAUGAUCAGUAGCCGGGCUGAGAGGCUGUCCGGCCACACGGGCACUGAGACACCGGGCCCGACUCCUACGGGAGGCUGCAGUCGCGAAUCUUUUCACAAUGGGCGCAAGCCUGAUGAAGCCACGCCGCGUGCGGGAUGAAGGG